Molecule: ribosomal RNA, 463 nt
Filed under: uncultured beta proteobacterium
Lineage: Bacteria; Pseudomonadati; Pseudomonadota; Betaproteobacteria
Description: bacterial SSU rRNA
Rfam family: Bacterial small subunit ribosomal RNA
Source: RNAcentral
GGAAGCAGGGGAUCGUAAGAACCUUAUGCUUUUGGAGUGGCCGAUGUCUGAUUAGCUAGUUGGUGGGGUAAAGGCCUACCAAGGCAACGAUCAGUAGUUGGUCUGAGAGGACGACCAGCCACACUGGGACUGAGACGCGGCCCAGACUCCUACGGGAGGCAGCAGUGGGGAAUUUUGGACAAUGGGCGCAAGCCUGAUCCAGCAAUGCCGCGUGAGUGAAGAAGGCCUUCGGGUUGUAAAGCUCUUUCAGUUGGGAAGAAAAGAUUGUGAUGAAUAAUUACAAUUCAUGACGGUACCGAAAGAAGAAGCACCGGCUAACUACGUGCCAGCAGCCGCGGUAAUACGUAGGGUGCAAGCGUUAAUCGGAAUUACUGGGCGUAAAGGGUGCGCAGGCGGCUCUGUAAGUCAGAUGUGAAAUCCCCGGGCUUAACCUGGGAACUGCGUUUGAAACUACAAAGCUAGA